Long non-coding RNA from Mustela erminea (ermine), 1646 nucleotides. RefSeq lists it as uncharacterized. Lineage: Eukaryota; Metazoa; Chordata; Mammalia; Carnivora; Mustelidae. The transcript has 2 exons. The record is from RefSeq and is a predicted model, not a curated record.
CGGCAUCAUCCAUCCACGUUUCAGUUUCGUCCUGAUGGUGCUUGAAGGGUGCUCACCGCUAUCUCUGUAUCAUUUCUGGAAAAAAUGAAUUUAUUCUAGCUUGAGUUCCACCUACUGCAUUCUGCAAGAAAACAGAACAAAAAAAAAUCUCCCCUUUCCCCCACAAAUUACUAGUUCAACCUCCACAGGUAAACCCAGUAUGGAAGAGUGGUAAGAUAGAAAAAUCUUAUCACCAAGAAACAACGAAGACUAACACCAUAAUGUGAUUUCUUCUCUAGAAAUCCAGAAGAAUAAAAACCAAACAAGAUGGGGAUUAAAACUGGACACACUCAAAAGACAGUUCAAUGUGCAAUCUUCUUAAGAAACGAUUUUUUAAAAAGAUUAUAAAUGACAGGAAAAUUGGUCAUUCUACAUAUUGAGCCAAAAUUCUGGGUAGGAAAGCAAUCCUGUGGGAAAACGUGUAUACAGACUGUAUAAAAACACACCAAAUAGCGAUCAUCUCUGGGUACAAACCUUGUGCCCUACUCGGAACUACUAACCUUCAACAACAAGUAUGUGCCUUUUUUAAGGAUAGGGGAAAAAGUGUCCUUUGGAAGACAGACAGCGGGAACCUUAGAUUUCAAAGUAAUGGAGCUCAGAGGCUCUUAAGAAGUUCUAGAAGUUUCCUUUUGAAAACUAGGUAAUGAGCAGGCGGAGUGGGGGGAGGAGGAGUGGAACCCUAGCCUCAGGAACAUCUGUGCAGAACGCAGGGGCCAUUGUGAGGCGCCCUGGCCAGUGGGGCAGGGAACCCGAGGGCGGGGCAGGCAUUGACAUUGUGACUCUGGCGGGCGGUGGUUGGUCUGUCCUGGCGCUUCAACUCAGGGGGCAUUGUGACGCUCCCCGCGCUCCCGGGUAGGUAAGGUCCUGCUCCCACCACCCUUGCCAUUUUGCCUGCAGUCACCUGGAGCUCACGGUCCUUCAUUCCCGGGGCCGGCACACAGAGCGCGACAGAAGGACCAUGGGAAGAGGGUUGUUGAUCAGGCUUCAGCUUGGGCUGCUGUUUCUGGCGCUGCUCUUGGCUCAGCAGGAGAUUUUUUCACAGGCUGCCGAAACCACGCCCGCCGCCUCCCCCGCUGCCACUGCCACUACUGGCAGCAAGUCUGGCGUCUGCGCCCUCCAGUCUACUGUCAGUGUGAUCAUGGUUUCGCUCUACCUUCUUUUGCGUCUUCACUGUUGAGAAACUCAGGCCGAAAAACGUUUUCACUUCUCCAACUCAUCUUCUAAAACCCAAUCCCAAUGGCUCCUGUGCCUAUCUAGUAUGGUAAGGAAAGCAACAGGCCCUUGUGAAAUCUACGAAUUCCACUCCAUAUUUUCCUGGCGCAGACAACGUUGAGAAGGUCAAAUUUGGUUUGAAGAGCAUCUGAGGAAUUUGACUCACAAUUGACUCUGCCGACAUUUGUGUCCAAGACUGAAAAGAUUGCGAACAGCUGAAAUUAGUGAACAAUCUUGUGAGUGGGGGCUUAAGGAAUAUGGACUCUUAAAACUCUACUUUGAAAAUAAGAAUUUCACCUCGAUCUAGAAAAAAAAAAAUGAGUUGUGCAGUGGAGAUGUUUCAUUCUGAUUCACCAAAUCUGUAAGGCCAUUAAAACAAUUUGGUAAUACCAAAA